UCUUUUUUUUUUUUUUUUUAAGUUAGGGUUCUUUCCUAGCUAAUCUCUGAGAAGCAAUCCAGAAAUUCCAACUGUCUGAGUGGUUUUGUCAGGUAUAUUAGAUUGAAGAAGAUGAAUAUGGCCUACCAAAUCUGGAAAAUUCAAGACGCAGGCUGGGUUGAUGAUGAUUUUUCUACAGUUCAUCGGGAUGGAGGGACCCGACCCGGGGCAAACUCCCGGUCUGCAGCCAUGGCGAAUACUUAUUAAGUUCUCUACUAUGGACCGCAGAAUGCUUACCUAACACUGAGUAGGAGUCUGAAUAUGGAUCUUUGAAAUUAUCACGUGUAUCUUUAAAUUGAAGUUCAUGUACCCCAAUCACAAUGAGCCUGGGUUGCUACUAUCCAAUCACUUAUCCAUCUCAGAACGAUUGAAUUGCAAGUAGAAAACUGUAGUUUUUGUUUCAAUUUCUAUUGUUUGUACUUUGAAGAUAUACUAUUAGAGUCUUUAUGACACACUACCAUUUUGA
Molecule: long non-coding RNA, 505 nt
Organism: Ipomoea nil (Japanese morning glory)
Lineage: Eukaryota; Viridiplantae; Streptophyta; Magnoliopsida; Solanales; Convolvulaceae
Exons: 3
Source: RefSeq, a predicted model, not a curated record